This 1806-nucleotide long non-coding RNA is filed under the name Homo sapiens (human). RNAcentral describes it as "non-protein coding lnc-TNFSF4-3:3". The record is from RNAcentral. Lineage: Eukaryota; Metazoa; Chordata; Mammalia; Primates; Hominidae.
CUACCGCGGUCGCUGUUGGUGGCGCCGCCGGGCCUGCGACUAGGUGGCAUCCUUCAGACACUAUAGGCCGUCUCUGCACACGUGAUGCGGGGCUCGGUCACGUUGCCCCCUGGAAGCUUGAGGAUGCGCCAGGUUUGACUCUGCAGGGCGUACGCGCUUUAGGGAUGGAAGGAAGAGGAACGCGGCAGGAAGGCGAGCCCCAAGGUGGAGAAUCGCCUGGGCGCGCAGGCUGCGGCGGCUUCGCACAGCCGCCCUGGGCGCUGCACGGGUCCGCGCGCACCCUGCUGCGCACCCACUCGCGGCCAGCUCCCUACAGAGGAGUGGAGUGACUGCUCGACUACCACCCCUCUUUUAGUGUGAGCGUCUGGAGUCCUGACCGCCCCAGCCAGCCCAGCUACGAUGAACUGUCUAAGAGGAUGUGGCAAGACCCAGAAGUAUGGGUGACCUUAUGUCAGAGGAAGUGGCUUUCUUAUUGCAGCAAAAAUUCCCGUACCAAUGUCAGUGCUAGGAUGGAGUUUCACUGUGUCACCCAGGCUGGAGUGCAGUGGCACGAUCUCAGCUCAAUGCAACCUCUGUCUCCUGGGUUCAAGCAAAUCUCCUGCCUCAGCCUCUUGAGUAGCCUGAGUAGCUGGGACUAAAGUAUGAAAGUUUUCAAGACGCCUACAAGUGGAAAAUGCACUCCUCCCAGCCAAAUCAAGCUUCGCCAGAUUCCUUACAGCUGUGUGCAGUGAAAUGACUAAUGAAAGAGCCCUCUGCUGCUGGUGGAACUUUCACAUAUGGCACUGUUAUGCCACUCAGCAGGACCCGACCCUGGUAUUUACAUAUUGGAUGUCACCCCAAAAGCCCCUGACCAGGGGGUUUCCGGGAUGUAAUAAGAAUGCCACUCUGGGCUUUGGAAGGUGCACCGUAUGCACACCCAUACUAUAGGGCAGGGGUUAGCAUUUCAGACCCCUGUUCCUCCCUUGACAAGCAAGUGCUUUUCUCCAGGGAAGACGUUCAGGUUCAUUCAUAGAUCCAUUGGUGCCGUGGGCAGCUCAGUAACAAUAGCUCUGCUGCCUACCAGCUGCUGGUGGAGGUGUUGAGAAUACCUAAUGAGGAAGUCAGGGCCCCUGCGUGCUUCAGCAGAGCUGGAUGCCUGGCAUGGCAAUCAAUGGACACAAACCUUUGGAUAAUUUCCGUCCUUGGCGGUGUGUUCUAUAGCAUAGGUAUGAAGUGGGUGCUCUGGGAGCUCAGAAGAGGGGCUCUUCUCUUAACUUAUGGGUGGCCAGGGAAGGCUUCCUGGAGCUCAAAUGACUGAGUGGAGUCUUCAACAUUAAAAAAAAAAAAAAGAAAAAAAAAGUGCUUCCCUCCCACCCCCAGUUAAAAAGGUAAUACACCUCAUUGAAAUAAUUUAAACUUUACAGAAAUGUGUUCCUUUAAAGUUCAGAGAGUAAAGAGGAAGUAAUAAAGCUGAAAUAGUAGAAUUUCUAAUUAACUGGAGCCUGUAGCUUUCUUCCUGAAAAGGGAGUGGUGUGUGUGCAUGUGUGAGUGUGUGUAGGUGAAUCUGUAAAGGAUGGAGUAGUACUAAAAAGAGGGAGGUGAAGACGGAGGUGAGAUCUCAUCUUUGUGCCCUGAACCUCUUUGUUAUAAUGUCAGGCAAUGAGAGAAAUCAGUACUCACCCUCUAUGGGACUCUGGCUUUUUCAAACUUGGUUUUCUAGGUUUUGGUCUUGGUUAUUGAUGGCUUGUAACUUCAGAGUCUCAUUGCUGGCCACGCUUCCACGUGGUUUAUUAAGAUGUUUUCCUAAACAAAAUUGAUCUCUCCCUA